This 293-nucleotide RNase P RNA is filed under the name human gut metagenome. RNAcentral describes it as "Bacterial RNase P class A". It matches the Rfam family "Bacterial RNase P class A", at positions 33 to 357 of the family's 367-position model. From Rfam's summary of the family: Ribonuclease P (RNase P) is a ubiquitous endoribonuclease, found in archaea, bacteria and eukarya as well as chloroplasts and mitochondria. Its best characterised activity is the generation of mature 5'-ends of tRNAs by cleaving the 5'-leader elements of precursor-tRNAs. The record is from RNAcentral.
GGCGAAAGCUGAGGAAAGUCCGGGCUCCACAGGGCAGGAUGCUGGCUAACGGCCAGUGGGGGCGACCCUAAGGAAAGUGCCACAGAAAACAAACCGCCUUCGGGUAAGGAUGAAACGGUGCGGUAAGAGCGCACCAGCGGCUGGGUGACCAGUCGGCUUGGUAAACCCCAUCCGGAGCAAGACCUAAUAAAAACGAUAACGCGGCCCGCGUUGUUUUGGGUAGGUCGCUGGAGAUGCGUGGCAACACGUAUCCAAGAUAGAUGAUCGCUGAUACAGAACCCGGCUUAUUACCU